GAGUCCGAUCGAAGUCUACCUGCAAUUAAAGUCAGGGACGAAGUCUGGCUCCCUUAGGAGUCCAGACGAAGCUUACCAGCAGUCGAGGUCGAGGACGGAGCCUGGCUCCUGUGGGAGUCUGGGCGAAGCUUUCCAGCAAUUGAGGUUGGGGACGAAGUCCGGCUCCCGUAGGAGUCCGAGUCUGUCGUUGGUGAAGUUCAGGCAUUGGCGAGGUCCGAGAUAGUUUGGAUUGGAGUUGAACCUGGC
RNAcentral lists this long non-coding RNA (246 nucleotides) under Elaeis guineensis (African oil palm). Its description in RNAcentral is "long non-coding RNA (EGUI_LNC060618)". Lineage: Eukaryota; Viridiplantae; Streptophyta; Magnoliopsida; Arecales; Arecaceae. The record is from RNAcentral.